This 126-nucleotide microRNA precursor is filed under the name Hordeum vulgare. Its description in RNAcentral is "microRNA MIR1122". It matches the Rfam family "MIR1120/MIR1122 microRNA precursor family". Lineage: Eukaryota; Viridiplantae; Streptophyta; Magnoliopsida; Poales; Poaceae. The record is from RNAcentral.
GAAAUAUUUCCUUCAUCCGAUAAUACUUGUCGAAGAAAUGAAUGUAUUUAGACAUAUUUUAGUUAUACAUAUAUUCAUUUUUAUCCAUUUUCCGUAACAAGUAUUUUCGAACGGAGGGAGUAAGAG